Molecule: long non-coding RNA, 1307 nt
Organism: Pantherophis guttatus
Lineage: Eukaryota; Metazoa; Chordata; Lepidosauria; Squamata; Colubridae
Source: RefSeq, a predicted model, not a curated record
CACAGGGUUCCUUUUUUUUUUUUUUUUUGCAUCUGAUGGUUUGGGUCAGCGGAUCCCUGGCAGUGGGGGAUGCGUUACAGCCCCAGAUUUUGCAGGGAAAAAAAAUGCAAAGAGAGAGAGAAAGAGAGAGACCUGACAGCCAUUUGUCUGCAAUGGUAUAAGGGUUUUCUGCUUGAGCAGGGGGUUGGACUAGAAGAUCUCCAAGAUCCCUCCCAACUCUGUUAUUAAAUCCUGCUUGCAGAAUUUCCACGGUGCGCAUUCCGGCUUGGGGAAGAAAUAGUUCCGUUGAGGAUUUGGACUCUUGCGGUUAUAGAUGCCUCCUAUGGGGUUUUGGAACAACAUUUCAGGCAGAGUUCACACAACCUGCUCAACCAAACAAGCAAAACAACACUUUGCCUUCAUGUGGCAUGUGAACCUGAAUGAAGGGUCCUGUCUGACAGGUUUCCAGAAAGGUUAAUAUUAACCAGCGUCACUCCAUGUGGAUGCAGUAGUAAGCCAUCACAUCAAUUUUUCACAAUGCUGCAGGAGAAUUGUAAUACUUCUGUAAUACUACUGUAUCCAGGGCAUUAUGGGAAAUCAAGACACAUGUCAGCAACAUCCUCUGCCUUCUUUUAUCUCCCAGGCUUACUGGUUACUCUGGAGCCGAAUGUAGAUAUGGCUGUUAGUAAGGCAGAAGCAUAGCUGCUUCUACUACUAUGGCAUGGAUUCAUAGGCUGCUCCAAGCAAGACAUUCCUUCUCCUUUAAUGAACAGAACGGAUCACCUGAGAACUUCCAAUGUUAGUAUGCUUUGAAUCUUUCCUGCCUGACCAAGAAAUAUCUUGCCCAUGAUUAUCUGAUGAGGCCCUGGAAAAUUAAGAGAACAGGCCUGUUUACCAACUAUAUGAAUGCAGCAAGAGAGAAAGGAGAUUAGCGGUGAUCAAUUGAAUUAGAAAUCUGUGCCAUUAAUAAUACCCAGGUUUCAAAAUUUGGUAAUCAGUCUUCAAAGAUACCAAUUCCCCUGGGCUUUUUGACAAUUUCAGAAGUUAUCAGUAUGUCUAUCUGAAGCACUAUCUCUUCUUUUUUCUUUCUUUUUUUCCAUAAGGACCAAUUUCUAAAGGGGGGGAUUCAUGUGACCAAGAUAUCCACAUAAGCCAGUGUUUCUCAACCUUGGCAACUUUAAGAUGUGUGGAGUUCAACUCCCAGUGUUCAUUAUUGUAGACAUUGAAAGAAGAUAGCCUUUGGUGGGAAAUCUGACAUUUCAUUAAUGAACAGAGGUUUUAGUGCACUCAGCUUAUGCCUUUUAAUAAAAUGUGUUCAUUGGAAAAGA